This 33-nucleotide unclassified non-coding RNA is filed under the name Sorangium cellulosum So ce56. RNAcentral describes it as "sce_Cardiovirus_CRE_3". Lineage: Bacteria; Pseudomonadati; Myxococcota; Polyangiales; Polyangiaceae. The record is from RNAcentral.
UCACGCCCGCUCGCAGGGCGGCUACCCGGUGAG